UUUAAAGUUUUUUUUUUUUUUUUUUAUUUCAUAAGUAUUUUUUCAUUUUUUAUUAAAGGUAUUGUUAGCUCAAACACCAGCACUGGUCUUAGUGUAUGCUUAAUACACACAUUACACAGCAGGGCACUGGAAUACUAGAGAACUAGACUACACUGUUAGAGUUAGUAAUGCUUCUAACUUUACAUGUUUACAAUGCAUUUAAACUUUCCGGUGCAUUUAGUUUUAUGCAUUGACAGUGUCGGACCAUCCCCGGAAAUUCGCUGAAGCGUAUAAAGAGAAUCUAACCAACACGUUCAUAGGCUAUGCCCAUCUUUAAAUGUAAUCAAUACUUCUUAACCAAGGACCAGUGCGAAAAUAAAGGUCAAAUGCAAGCUGGCGAAAUUUAUUACUAGAAAGCAUGAAACGAACUAAAGGAGAACGAAUCAAAUUAAAAUGCAAGGCAGGGAAAGGGAACACACUUUACUAUAGAUUUCAAAACUGAAUAUUUAAUAGACAUUUUACAAAGGCAGCAGAAAA
Ciona intestinalis (vase tunicate) is the source of this 516-nucleotide non-coding RNA. Lineage: Eukaryota; Metazoa; Chordata; Ascidiacea; Phlebobranchia; Cionidae. The record is from RefSeq and is a predicted model, not a curated record.